GUUAUUUUGGCAGAAUAGUGCGAUUGAUUUAGAAUCAUUAUAUGUAAAAAUUUUACAAAUAGCAC
Molecule: transfer RNA, 65 nt
Filed under: Glenea cantor
Lineage: Eukaryota; Metazoa; Arthropoda; Insecta; Coleoptera; Cerambycidae
Description: tRNA-Leu
Rfam family: tRNA
About the family: Transfer RNA (tRNA) molecules are approximately 80 nucleotides in length.
Source: RNAcentral